This 1039-nucleotide ribosomal RNA is filed under the name Bacillus altitudinis. RNAcentral's name for it is "bacterial SSU rRNA". It matches the Rfam family "Bacterial small subunit ribosomal RNA", at positions 45 to 1067 of the family's 1533-position model. The record is from RNAcentral. Lineage: Bacteria; Bacillati; Bacillota; Bacilli; Caryophanales; Bacillaceae.
UGCUAUACAUGCAGUCGAGCGGACAGAAGGGAGCUUGCUCCCGGAUGUUAGCGGCGGACGGGUGAGUAACACGUGGGUAACCUGCCUGUAAGACUGGGAUAACUCCGGGAAACCGGAGCUAAUACCGGAUAGUUCCUUGAACCGCAUGGUUCAAGGAUGAAAGACGGUUUCGGCUGUCACUUACAGAUGGACCCGCGGCGCAUUAGCUAGUUGGUGAGGUAACGGCUCACCAAGGCGACGAUGCGUAGCCGACCUGAGAGGGUGAUCGGCCACACUGGGACUGAGACACGGCCCAGACUCCUACGGGAGGCAGCAGUAGGGAAUCUUCCGCAAUGGACGAAAGUCUGACGGAGCAACGCCGCGUGAGUGAUGAAGGUUUUCGGAUCGUAAAGCUCUGUUGUUAGGGAAGAACAAGUGCAAGAGUAACUGCUUGCACCUUGACGGUACCUAACCAGAAAGCCACGGCUAACUACGUGCCAGCAGCCGCGGUAAUACGUAGGUGGCAAGCGUUGUCCGGAAUUAUUGGGCGUAAAGGGCUCGCAGGCGGUUUCUUAAGUCUGAUGUGAAAGCCCCCGGCUCAACCGGGGAGGGUCAUUGGAAACUGGGAAACUUGAGUGCAGAAGAGGAGAGUGGAAUUCCACGUGUAGCGGUGAAAUGCGUAGAGAUGUGGAGGAACACCAGUGGCGAAGGCGACUCUCUGGUCUGUAACUGACGCUGAGGAGCGAAAGCGUGGGGAGCGAACAGGAUUAGAUACCCUGGUAGUCCACGCCGUAAACGAUGAGUGCUAAGUGUUAGGGGGUUUCCGCCCCUUAGUGCUGCAGCUAACGCAUUAAGCACUCCGCCUGGGGAGUACGGUCGCAAGACUGAAACUCAAAGGAAUUGACGGGGGCCCGCACAAGCGGUGGAGCAUGUGGUUUAAUUCGAAGCAACGCGAAGAACCUUACCAGGUCUUGACAUCCUCUGACAACCCUAGAGAUAGGGGCUUUCCCUUCGGGGGACAAAGUGACAGGUGGUGCAUGGUUGUCGCCAGCUCGUGUCG